RNAcentral lists this ribosomal RNA (525 nucleotides) under uncultured delta proteobacterium. RNAcentral's name for it is "bacterial SSU rRNA". It matches the Rfam family "Bacterial small subunit ribosomal RNA", at positions 15 to 523 of the family's 1533-position model. Lineage: Bacteria; Deltaproteobacteria. The record is from RNAcentral.
GAUCCUGGCUCAGAGCGAACGUUAGCGGCGGGCCUAACACAUGCAAGUCGAACGGGCAGUAGCAAUACUGUCAGUGGCGCACGGGUGAGUAACGCGUAGGUAAUCUACCCUUUGGCGGGGGAUAACGUUCCGAAAGGGACGCUAAUACCGCAUAAGACCACGACUCUUUCGGGGGGUUGAGGGAAAAGGUGGCCUCUUCUUGAAAGCCAUCACCGGAGGAUGAGCCUGCGUCCCAUCAGCUAGUUGGUAGGGUAAUGGCCUACCAAGGCGAAGACGGGUAGCUGGUCUGAGAGGAUGAUCAGCCACACUGGCACUGGAACACGGGCCAGACUCCUACGGGAGGCAGCAGUGGGGAAUAUUGGGCAAUGGGCGCAAGCCUGACCCAGCCACGCCGCGUGAGCGAUGAAGGCCUUCGGGUUGUAAAGCUCUGUGGGGAGGGGCGAAAGGCAGAAGUGCUAAUAGUACUCUGUUUGACGGUACCUCCUUAGCAAGCACCGGCUAACUCUGUGCCAGCAGCCGCGGUAA